GACGAACGCUGGCGGCGUGCUUAACACAUGCAAGUCGAACGGCAAGGCCCUGCUUGCAGGGUACUCGAGUGGCGAACGGGUGAGUAACACGUGGGUGAUCUGCCCUGCACUUCGGGAUAAGCCGGGGAAACUGGGUCUAAUACCGGAUAGGAGCCAUUUUUAGUGUGAUGGUUGGAAAGUUUUUUCGGUGUAGGAUGAGCUCGCGGCCUAUCAGCUUGUUGGUGGGGUAAUGGCCUACCAAGGCGGCGACGGGUAGCCGGCCUGAGAGGGUGGACGGCCACAUUGGGACUGAGAUACGGCCCAGACUCCUACGGGAGGCAGCAGUGGGGAAUAUUGCACAAUGGGCGCAAGCCUGAUGCAGCGACGCCGCGUGUGGGAUGACGGCCUUCGGGUUGUAAACUCCUUUCGCUAGGGACGAAGCUUUUGUGACGGUACCUAGAUAAGAAGCACCGGCUAACUACGUG
Molecule: ribosomal RNA, 464 nt
Filed under: uncultured bacterium
Lineage: Bacteria
Description: partial 16S ribosomal RNA
Rfam family: Bacterial small subunit ribosomal RNA
Source: RNAcentral